RNAcentral lists this ribosomal RNA (254 nucleotides) under uncultured bacterium. RNAcentral's name for it is "partial 16S ribosomal RNA". It matches the Rfam family "Bacterial small subunit ribosomal RNA", at positions 524 to 776 of the family's 1533-position model. The record is from RNAcentral.
UACGAAGGGGGGCUAGCGUUGUUCGGAAUUACUGGGCGUAAAGCGCGCGCAGGCGGUCCUUUAAGUCAGGGGUGAAAGCCCAGAGCUCAACUCUGGAACUGCCUUUGAAACUAGAGGACUUGGGUACGGGAGAGGUGAGUGGAAUUCCGAGUGUAGAGGUGAAAUUCGUAGAUAUUCGGAAGAACACCAGUGGCGAAGGCGGCUCACUGGCCCGUUACCGACGCUCAGGCGCGACAGCGUGGGGAGCAAACAGG